Molecule: ribosomal RNA, 280 nt
Filed under: uncultured soil bacterium
Lineage: Bacteria
Description: partial 16S ribosomal RNA
Rfam family: Bacterial small subunit ribosomal RNA
Source: RNAcentral
AGGAUGAACGCUAGCGGCAGGCCUAACACAUGCAAGUCGAGGGGCAGCAUAAAACAAGCUUGCUUGUUUGGUGGCGACCGGCGCACGGGUGCGUAACGCGUAUGCAACCUACCCUGUACUGAGGGAUAGCCCGAAGAAAUUCGGAUUAAGACCUCAUAGCACUAGAAUACCGCAUAGGUAAAUUAGUUAAAGGUUACGGUACAGGAUGGCAUGCGUCCCAUUAGCUAGAUGGUAAGGUAACGGCUUACAGUGGCAACGAGUGGGUAGGGCCUGAGAGGGU